RNAcentral lists this ribosomal RNA (211 nucleotides) under Synchroma pusillum. RNAcentral describes it as "partial Bacterial large subunit ribosomal RNA". It matches the Rfam family "Bacterial large subunit ribosomal RNA", at positions 2083 to 2305 of the family's 2925-position model. The record is from RNAcentral. Lineage: Eukaryota; Synchromophyceae; Synchromales; Synchromaceae.
GAAAGACCCCGUGAACCUUUACUACAACUUUACAUUGGCUUUAGCUGUAUCAUGUGUAGGAUAGGCGGGAGACUUAGAAGCGGCGUCGCCAGGCGUUGUGGAGUCACCCUUGAAAUACCGCCCUUGAUACAGGUGAAGUCUAACCCUGAAAGGGGAACAGUGUAUGGUGGGUAGUUUGACUGGGGCGAUCGCCUCCUAAAAGGUAACGGAG